ACUAACAACGACAACAAGGGCGGCCUCGCUGCCCUCUCGAUUGCUGAAAACCCGGCGCGGACAGACACCCUGCUCAGGUCGUUCCCCUGAAGCAGGCCACACAGACGCCGUUCAUCAAUCUUCAGGGUAGCUUCGCUACCCUUUUUUACCGGAGCUCGU
Pantoea sp. is the source of this 159-nucleotide non-coding RNA. NCBI's taxonomy places the organism in Bacteria, Pseudomonadati, Pseudomonadota, Gammaproteobacteria, Enterobacterales, Erwiniaceae. The record is from Rfam.